Molecule: microRNA precursor, 84 nt
Filed under: Bombyx mori (domestic silkworm)
Lineage: Eukaryota; Metazoa; Arthropoda; Insecta; Lepidoptera; Bombycidae
Description: mir-2807 microRNA precursor family
Rfam family: mir-2807 microRNA precursor family
Source: Rfam by way of RNAcentral
UUAACUCAUAUUUGUACGGAAUAGGAUCGUUUGCGUACGUUUGCCGAUAGGGGCGCUGUUCCAACUGCAUACAAAAUUGCGUUA